AACAUUCUUAUAGAGAAGUGACUUUACAACGAAUGCGAAGUUCCUGGAGCAAGCACAGAGGAAAGAGGUGGGCUGAAAUCUCUUGUAGGAAGAAUCAAGACCUCAUCUUCUGUUCUUCCUCUGCCUCUCAGUUCCUGAUGCCACCAACUCUUCAUAUCAUCUUAACGUCACACAAAGUUCUGUCAUGAAGGAUUACACCCUGGAGAAUUCAAUCAGGAUGGGCGUGGCAGGGAUGGUCCUCCUUAUUCCAUUGAUAAUGUUGGCUGAGGCCUGGUGGAACCAUAAGGAGACACCACAGGUAGAAAUGAGAGGAAUUUCUGCCAGAACCCUGUGAACAAAUCUUUUGGCAGAAUGGACCUUGGAAAGAACUCCACCUGCUGAGAUGUCCCUGAGUGGAUGUGGAAUGUACUUAGGGUAUUAGAGCCUUUCGGGGGAUGCUUGGAAGAACAGCUGAACCUCACGAGGCAAAGAGCACACCCAAGAUAUGAGAUGAGCUCCUUGGGGACGGCAGAGAGGAGGUGCACUGACAAACAUAUAAACGCACAGACAGCA
Molecule: long non-coding RNA, 552 nt
Organism: Peromyscus eremicus (cactus mouse)
Lineage: Eukaryota; Metazoa; Chordata; Mammalia; Rodentia; Cricetidae
Exons: 2
Source: RefSeq, a predicted model, not a curated record